This 23-nucleotide non-coding RNA is filed under the name Arabidopsis thaliana (thale cress). The record is from RNAcentral. Lineage: Eukaryota; Viridiplantae; Streptophyta; Magnoliopsida; Brassicales; Brassicaceae.
GAAACCGAUUCGAAAAACCGGUU